RNAcentral lists this ribosomal RNA (933 nucleotides) under Microsporidium sp. HEM-2006BHL. RNAcentral describes it as "bacterial SSU rRNA". It matches the Rfam family "Microsporidia small subunit ribosomal RNA", at positions 16 to 867 of the family's 1311-position model. Lineage: Eukaryota; Fungi; Microsporidia. The record is from RNAcentral.
CCGCACCGUUAAGGCGUUUCACAAGCCUGCAAGUCUAAGCGAACAUUUGUGGAGCUGCAAAUGGCUCAGUAGGCUCAGUUAUAAUCUACUCGACAUCUAUGGAUAACCGUGGUAAACUGCGGCUAAUACAUUUUAGCUUGAAAAGCGAUGUCGAUUGAGUUUCUGACUUAUCAGCUUGAGUGUAGGGUAAGGGCCUACAUUGGCUAUGACGAGUAACGGAGAUUUUGGGUUCGAUUCCGGAGAGGGAGCAUGAGAAAUGGCUACCACAUCUAAGGAUGGCAGCAGGCACGAAAAUUACCCAAUCUCGAAGAGAGGAGGUAGUGACGAAACGUACUAAGGAAAGAAUGUAGUGUAAAUAACUACAUGAAGGCAACUGGAGGGCAAGUCUGGUGCCAGCAGCCGCGGUAAUUCCAGCUCCAGUAGCAUCUGUGUGUAUUGCUGCAGUUAAAAAGUUCGUAGUCGGGCUAUCGAACGCAUUACUUUCUGAAAAGACGGUAUUGUGAUUGAUUUACUGUGAGUAAAUUACAGUGUUCAAAUUUGAGUACGUGAGCAUGGAAUAAAAAGGGAUGGAGAUUAAUAGGAGCAGUUUAGGGCAAUGGUAUUCUACAGUUAGAGGUGAAAUUUGUUGACCUGUAGAGGACUAACAGAAGCGAAAGCGUUUGUCAAGGAUGCUUUCAUUGAUUAAGAACGUAAGCCGGAGUAUCAAAGACGAUUAGAUACCGUCGUAGUUCCGAGCUGUAAACGAUGCCAACGGGGUGAGGCAAUAUGGUUAGUUUUGCUGUGCCCGAGAGAAAUCGAGAGUGUUUGGGCUCUGGGGAUAGUAUAUGCGCAAGCAGGAAACUUAAACGAAGUUGACGGAAGGACACCACAAGGAGUGGAUUAUGCGGCUUAAUUUGACUCAACGCGGGACAGCUUUACCAAAAAAACAAAACG